Molecule: ribosomal RNA, 319 nt
Filed under: uncultured Tremula
Lineage: Eukaryota; Cercozoa
Also listed under: 1 other name
Description: bacterial SSU rRNA
Rfam family: Eukaryotic small subunit ribosomal RNA (bases 112-319)
Source: RNAcentral
GAUUUCUGGUAUGAUGCGUUUGUCCCGGCUAGCAAUAGAUCGUGUGACUUUGCGCGUCUACCAUCCUUCGCUUCAGAUGUGCUGACGUGUAAAAGCGUUAGCAGCUGUUGUGAUCUUUUACUUUGAAAAAAUUAGAGUGUUUAAAGCAGGCUUGUGCCUUGAAUACAUUAGCAUGGAAUAAUAAUAUAGGACUGGGUUCCUAUUUUGUUGGUUUUCUGGAAUCAAGUAAUGAUUGAUAGGGAUAGUUGGGGGUGCUAGUAUUCAGCGGCCAGAGGUGAAAUUCUUUGAUUCGCUGAAGACUAACUUAUGCGAAAGCAUU